GUGGCUAUAGCUCAGUUGGUUAGAGCAUCGGUUUGUGGUACCGAGGGUCGUGGGUUCGAGUCCCAUUAGCCACCCA
Molecule: transfer RNA, 76 nt
Filed under: Flavobacteriales bacterium TMED191
Lineage: Bacteria; Pseudomonadati; Bacteroidota; Flavobacteriia; Flavobacteriales
Also listed under: 1 other name
Description: tRNA-His
Rfam family: tRNA
About the family: Transfer RNA (tRNA) molecules are approximately 80 nucleotides in length. Their secondary structure includes four short double-helical elements and three loops (D, anti-codon, and T loops). Further hydrogen bonds mediate the characteristic L-shaped molecular structure. tRNAs have two regions of fundamental functional importance: the anti-codon, which is responsible for specific mRNA codon recognition, and the 3' end, to which the tRNAs corresponding amino acid is attached (by aminoacyl-tRNA synthetases). tRNAs cope with the degeneracy of the genetic code in two manners: having more than one tRNA (with a specific anti-codon) for a particular amino acid; and 'wobble' base-pairing, i.e. permitting non-standard base-pairing at the 3rd anti-codon position.
Source: RNAcentral